GCGCAAGUUCCAUUUGCAGAGCUGAACGAAGAGCGGCUGACAGCGCUGGCUUCGAUCGACUUGCUGAAACAGCAAUUGCCGGAGGUUGAAUCGGUGGC
Molecule: unclassified non-coding RNA, 98 nt
Filed under: plant metagenome
Description: partial contains 5.8S ribosomal RNA, internal transcribed spacer 2, and large subunit ribosomal RNA
Source: RNAcentral